RNAcentral lists this ribosomal RNA (497 nucleotides) under uncultured bacterium. Its description in RNAcentral is "partial 16S ribosomal RNA". It matches the Rfam family "Bacterial small subunit ribosomal RNA", at positions 28 to 507 of the family's 1533-position model. The record is from RNAcentral.
GAUGAACGCUGGCGGCGUGCCUAAUACAUGCAAGUCGAGCGAACAGACGAGGAGCUUGCUCCUUUGACGUUAGCGGCGGACGGGUGAGUAACACGUGGGUAACCUACCUAUAAGACUGGGAUAACUUCGGGAAACCGGAGCUAAUACCGGAUAAUAUUUCGAACCGCAUGGUUCGAUAGUUAAAGAUGGCUUUGCUAUCACUUAUAGAUGGACCUGCGCCGUAUUAGCUAGUUGGUAAGGUAACGGCUUACCAAGGCAACGAUACGUAGCCGACCUGAGAGGGUGAUCGGCCACACUGGAACUGAGACACGGUCCAGACUCCUACGGGAGGCAGCAGUAGGGAAUCUUCCGCAAUGGGCGAAAGCCUGACGGAGCAACGCCGCGUGAGUGAUGAAGGUCUUCGGAUCGUAAAACUCUGUUAUUAGGGAAGAACAAACGUGUAAGUAACUGUGCACGUCUUGACGGUACCUAAUCAGAAAGCCACGGCUAACUCCGUG